ACCCGCACAAGCGGUGGAUCAUGUUGUUUAAUUCGAUGAUACGCGAAGAACCUUACCAGGUCUUGACAUCCCCUGACAACCGAGAGAUCGGGCGUUCCCCUUCGGGGGACAGGGUGACAGGUGGUGCAUGGUUGUCGUCAGCUCGUGUCGUGAGAUGUGGGUUAAGUCCCGCAACGAGCGCAACCCUUGUCUUUAAUUGCCAUCAUUUAGUUGGGCACUUUAAAGAGACUGCCGGUGUUAAGCCGGAGGAAGUGGGGAUGACGUCAAGUCCUCAUGGCCUUUAUGCCCAGGGCUACACACGUGCUACAAUGGGCGGUACAAAGAGAAGCAACCUCGCGAGGGUGAGCAAAUCUCAAAAAGCCGUUCUCAGUUCGGAUUGAAGUCUGCAACUCGACUUCAUGAAGUCGGAAUCGCUAGUAAUCGCGGAUCAGCAUGCCGCGGUGAAUACGUUCCCGGGCCUU
This 461-nucleotide ribosomal RNA is filed under the name uncultured Syntrophaceae bacterium. Its description in RNAcentral is "bacterial SSU rRNA". It matches the Rfam family "Bacterial small subunit ribosomal RNA", at positions 919 to 1382 of the family's 1533-position model. Lineage: Bacteria; Pseudomonadati; Thermodesulfobacteriota; Syntrophia; Syntrophales; Syntrophaceae. The record is from RNAcentral.